RNAcentral lists this ribosomal RNA (418 nucleotides) under uncultured bacterium. RNAcentral's name for it is "partial 16S ribosomal RNA". It matches the Rfam family "Bacterial small subunit ribosomal RNA", at positions 355 to 765 of the family's 1533-position model. The record is from RNAcentral.
UGGGGAAUAUUGCACAAUGGGCGCAAGCCUGAUGCAGCCAUGCCGCGUGUGUGAAGAAGGCCUUCGGGUUGUAAAGCACUUUCAGCGAGGAGGAAGGCAGUCGUGUUAAUAGCACGGUUGAUUGACGUUACUCGCAGAAGAAGCACCGGCUAACUCCGUGCCAGCAGCCGCGGUAAUACGGAGGGUGCAAGCGUUAAUCGGAAUUACUGGGCGUAAAGCGCACGCAGGCGGUUUGUUAAGUCAGAUGUGAAAUCCCCGCGCUUAACGUGGGAACUGCAUUUGAAACUGGCAAGCUAGAGUCUUGUAGAGGGGGGUAGAAUUCCAGGUGUAGCGGUGAAAUGCGUAGAGAUCUGGAGGAAUACCGGUGGCGAAGGCGGCCCCCUGGACAAAGACUGACGCUCAGGUGCGAAAGCGUGGG